Long non-coding RNA from Ostrea edulis (European flat oyster), 1329 nucleotides. RefSeq lists it as uncharacterized. Lineage: Eukaryota; Metazoa; Mollusca; Bivalvia; Ostreida; Ostreidae. The transcript is spliced from 2 exons. The record is from RefSeq and is a predicted model, not a curated record.
AACAGUAAGGAUAAAGCCGAGAUCCAAAUCAGACGUUACUUAGGACGAGGAGACAACACCAAUCUAUUUAACAAACACGGGAGAGCAUUCCCCGUGUAACUAGCAAGAGUGUGGGAAAACUUACGUGGAAUAAACGCUUCUAAAAACCCAAAACCUCGAUAGGAUCCUAACGCUUGCGUUGAAAACUUGUGUUCAUCAAUUGGUCUCAGGACUCGGUUAUCUUCCAACGCUCUGUUGAUGCAGCAAGAGCUGAUCAGAAGUAAAUGGCAGAGUAUAGAAGUGCAAUGGGUGUCAUCACCAGGUCAAUACAGUCAAAAUAAACUUCUGAUACAUCGUCAUCCCUGAUUAAGAGAUGGUCCAUGGUCAACAGGCUGGACAAACACUGGUUCAAUAGGUCAACUGGACAUUCAAUGAUGGCGCGUCCUAGGAUACGAGACUUUCCGAGAUUUCCUAUCACCAAUGGAAAUAGACUUUAUCAAAGACUUUGGGCCGACAUCUUCCUCCAUAUAAUCUUGUGCAAGUGAAUUAUUGUUCGUUCCCUGGCUGCUCUCCAUACAAAGAAACAUCUACAAACAUCUGUCUGCAAGUGAACAAGCUGUGGGGGGAACCAGCUUAAGUUUAGACUGUGUUUCAGAACCUCGAUUGGCUCAAACAUUUUGUAUUAUUUUCAUUUUAUUUUCAAGGGACUGAUUCACGAUUUUACCCAGAAUUUUGUUUUUUUACUUUUAAUGAUCAGAAUCUACUGUGUAAUGUGUUUGAAAGAUUUCAAAUGAAAAUUAAGGUUAUACACUGUACAUCAUCACGGAAGCUCAUUUUAGAGAGUUUAUUAUUUGUUUUGUAAACAAAGAUUGCAGUAUGCUAUUGUUUACGAAAUUUUCAUAAAAAAUAGAUAUCGAUCUAAGUUUAUUAUUUUUUUCACAUUUCAAGCAUUUUGGGGGUAAAAUGUGUCAUCUAAAAGUUAAAAUUUGUGACUAUGCAAAAUUAAGAUGCAUUAUAUUACAAAAUCAAUAUUUCACUUCUUUGUUUGUUUACAUAAAAAGUUUACAUAACACAGUUUUAAGGCUAAAAUAUUGCUUGCAUUCAGAAGGUCAAAAUUUGGCUGUCAACAACAAAUGAGUUAUAUUUUUAAUGUUUAACAUUAAAAAUGAAAAUUAUUUUUAUCAAAAAUCGUGAACCAGUCCCUUUAAAGGAUUAAAUUAUUUGUAUUUAAUUCUUGAAAGACAAUUUAUGUUAUUUUAAAACACAACGCGGAGAUAUUUUAUUUUUCUUAUUAAAAGCUAUACGAUCGAUUUUUAUUCAUUGUAAUUGUAAUAAACUUAAAUUAUAGCU